AUAUUACUCCCUCUGUCCCCAAAUUCUUGUCUUUUAUUUGUCUAGGUAUGAAUGUAUCUAGUCACGUUUUGGUAUUUAGAUACAUCCAUUUCUAUACAAACCUAAGACAAGAAAAUUGGCGCAGAGGGAGUAUUAU
This is a non-coding RNA of Hordeum vulgare subsp. vulgare (domesticated barley), 136 nucleotides long. The record is from Rfam. Lineage: Eukaryota; Viridiplantae; Streptophyta; Magnoliopsida; Poales; Poaceae.